UACGUAGGUGGCAAGCGUUGUCCGGAUUUAUUGGGCGUAAAGGGAGCGCAGGUGGUUUCUUAAGUCUGAUGUGAAAGCCCACGGCUUAACCGUGGAGGGUCAUUGGAAACUGGUCGACUUGAGUGCAGAAGAGGGAAGUGGAAUUCCAUGUGUAGCGGUGAAAUGCGUAGAGAUAUGGAGGAACACCAGUGGCGAAGGCGGCUUCCUGGUCUGUAACUGACACUGAGGCGCAAAAGCGUGGGGAGCAAACAGGAUUAGAUACCCUGGUA
This 269-nucleotide ribosomal RNA is filed under the name uncultured prokaryote. RNAcentral describes it as "partial 16S ribosomal RNA". It matches the Rfam family "Bacterial small subunit ribosomal RNA", at positions 524 to 792 of the family's 1533-position model. The record is from RNAcentral.